GUCUACAGCCAUACCACCCAGAAUGGGCUCAAUCUCAUCUGAUUUUGUAAGCUAAGCAGGGUCUGGCCUGGUUAGUACUUGAUAACCUACUAGAAUUUAUAUAUU
This 105-nucleotide ribosomal RNA is filed under the name Myotis lucifugus (little brown bat). The record is from RNAcentral. Lineage: Eukaryota; Metazoa; Chordata; Mammalia; Chiroptera; Vespertilionidae.